UGUGACCUCGUGCUGGUGACUUACCCUUUC
RNAcentral lists this non-coding RNA (30 nucleotides) under Homo sapiens (human). Lineage: Eukaryota; Metazoa; Chordata; Mammalia; Primates; Hominidae. The record is from RNAcentral.